GAACGCUGCAGUCCUUGGAGGGAGGCCUGCCGGGGUGUUCCAACCGAGUGUGCUGAUCAAGUUAUCUAGAACCCGCCAGGGUGAAGAGAUGCCAGUCCACAUCUCCGUAGGAAAAUUCCCCAAACACAAACUCCAAAGCCUGGGUGCUGAGCAGAAUGGCUUCCCAAAAUAGAAAGCCAUACUGGACACUCUGCCUCCCUUCCAGCUGCAUGGGCCGGGCACUUUCAGCCAAUGAGCAGCUUUCAUUUCUGGUCCUGGAAAUCUCCUGUGCUGGAGUCCUGUGUUGGCUCCCUUCUAGCUUCGUGAUGCAGAUGAACAUGGAAGCCACGUGCUGGAGGCGGCAGAGCCAGAAGAAAGUAGCACAAGCCCUGUGCCUGCGUGGAAGAGCAUCUGUUCUGUAUCUUCUGUGAGCACGAAAUAAAUAUUUGUGG
Nannospalax galili (Upper Galilee mountains blind mole rat) is the source of this 431-nucleotide long non-coding RNA. RefSeq lists it as uncharacterized. The transcript has 3 exons. Lineage: Eukaryota; Metazoa; Chordata; Mammalia; Rodentia; Spalacidae. The record is from RefSeq and is a predicted model, not a curated record.